CCCGCUCAUUCGCACCCGAGCGCAUGCCGUGCUUUCCAUGCUAAAUCUGCCCCUUCUCCUAUCGCUGUCAUUUUCCGUGACUCACUAAGUUUACAUUCUGCGUCGGGAUCGAAAAGAAAAAUAAACUCAUUUUCAUUCUGUUUUAUCCGGAUCAGUUCUGGACCACUUUUCGCGCUCGAUUGAUGUUGUUUAUUUUUUUCCUUCUUCUUUUUGUUUGCAUGAUGGUCUUGGACUCACACACGUCAGUUUCCACCGGGUACAAGUGUCGAGAGCACAUUUUCCCCCUGGCGGCCAUAGAGUUCUUUCGUUCGAAAUAUCUUCUCGCUUCAUGUGCGUACGAACUGAGCUCUUACUCGGUCAAUCAACCACUGCUGCUAUAU
Molecule: long non-coding RNA, 380 nt
Filed under: Brachypodium distachyon (stiff brome)
Lineage: Eukaryota; Viridiplantae; Streptophyta; Magnoliopsida; Poales; Poaceae
Description: long non-coding RNA (BDIS_LNC000173)
Source: RNAcentral